Molecule: transfer RNA, 87 nt
Filed under: Candidatus Bathyarchaeota archaeon
Lineage: Archaea; Thermoproteati; Candidatus Bathyarchaeota
Also listed under: 1 other name
Description: tRNA-Ser
Rfam family: tRNA
About the family: Transfer RNA (tRNA) molecules are approximately 80 nucleotides in length. Their secondary structure includes four short double-helical elements and three loops (D, anti-codon, and T loops).
Source: RNAcentral
GCCGGGUUCUCCUAGCCAGGUAGGGAGCAGGCCUGCUAAGUCUGUGACCUUCGGGUCGCGUGGGUUCAAAUCCCACACCCGGCGCCA